This 55-nucleotide ribosomal RNA is filed under the name Ganoderma gibbosum. Its description in RNAcentral is "partial 18S ribosomal RNA". The record is from RNAcentral. Lineage: Eukaryota; Fungi; Basidiomycota; Agaricomycetes; Polyporales; Polyporaceae.
UCCGUAGGUGAACCUGCGGAAGGAUCAUUAUCGAGUUCUGACUGGGUUGUAGCUG